UGUGUGUGUGUGUGUGUGUGUGUGUGUGUGGUGUGUGUGGUGUGUGUAUGUGUGUGUGUGGCGCAGAUAAGGGGCCAUGGCCUAGGACAGCCAGGCAGUGAGUGGCAAGCGCCUGAUGGGUUGCUUUUCCUUCAUUUUACAAGCCAGGAAGUCUUCCUGCGGUGGGGUUUGCAGAACCAGCAGAAUCCCUCCUGGGGCCACCAUGUUCCCGGCACCGUUCUGAGCCUUUGUAAUGCUAAUCUCCUGUAGUGAGUGCCUGGGGAGGGUUGGGGGGCUGUAAUAUUGUUGUCCUUGCACAAGGAAAGACCAAGAUGCAGAGAGAUGUCUAAAAGGUGCCAGAAGGUGACUAUCCAGCCCUGGUAUCACUGCCUGGUGAUUUUGUUUCUUUGAUCUUCACGAAUGGCCUCACUGGCUGUGAUUUGGACAGAAAUCAGCUGCCACGUGCAACAUUCUCCCAUGGGAACAUGUGUCCGCAGUACCUAUCUCAGAGCCCAAAUCCUUCCUGCCCCACAGCCUUCUCCUGGGACCUGCCUUGGAUUGGCAGCUUUGCAUAACAAACACCACUCCUGAGCUGCCCAGCAUGGGGAGAAAGAAGAGACCGCCUGAGCCUCACCCUUUGCUGGCCAGCUGUGUUGACUUACUACAGCUGACUUCUCUGAGCCGGAGCUUCCUCAUCUGCACAAGGGAGACGACAGCUGGGCCUGACUCCCAGGUUUAUGAUGGGGAUUAGAGGAGCAUUAGCAAGGGCAAUGUUUGUAGUAGAGACAGGCAAACAGAAGACUCUCAGUACAUGGUAUUGUACGAAUGGUAUCUAACCCCAUUAGACUCAGACACUGAAGGAAAUGCAGUAAAGCACACACAGCUGAUUGACAAAAAUGCAAUGACAUUGUACAGA
Long non-coding RNA from Gorilla gorilla gorilla (western lowland gorilla), 895 nucleotides. RefSeq lists it as uncharacterized. The transcript is spliced from 3 exons. The record is from RefSeq and is a predicted model, not a curated record. NCBI's taxonomy places the organism in Eukaryota, Metazoa, Chordata, Mammalia, Primates, Hominidae.